AUGUCCUGGUCUUCGGGUGGUUCGAGUGCUCCCGGCUUCCGUCAAGCCGCAGGAAGGAGAGGGGAGGAAUCGAGGUCGCCGGUGCCGUGCCGCGAGAACCCGAUGGCGUACGAGCCAGCGAAGCUCUGCUGGUGCAACCCCCGUCGGAAGGCGCCAAGGUGGAUCUCGUGGAGCCGUCAGAACCCAGGCAGGAGGUACUACGCCUGCGUCGAUGCCAUGGUGAGCUUGAAGUUUAUUUUCUGCUCAUUUGUUUUUCUCCCCUCGCAUUGA
This 270-nucleotide ribosomal RNA is filed under the name Triticum aestivum (bread wheat). RNAcentral's name for it is "partial small subunit ribosomal RNA". Lineage: Eukaryota; Viridiplantae; Streptophyta; Magnoliopsida; Poales; Poaceae. The record is from RNAcentral.